GACGAACGCUGGCGGCGUGCUUAACACAUGCAAGUCGAACGGUGAACGAGGGAGCUUGCUCCCUCCGGAUCAGUGGCGAACGGGUGAGUAACACGUGAGCAAUCUGCCCCGAACUCUGGGAUAAGCGUUGGAAACGACGUCUAAUACCGGAUACGACGCGGGAGGGCAUCCUCUCCGCGUGGAAAGAACUUCGGUUCGGGAUGAGCUCGCGGCCUAUCUGCUUGUUGGUGAGGUAACGGCUCACCAAGGCGACGACGGGUAGCCGGCCUGAGAGGGUGACCGGCAAAACUGGGACUGAGAAACGGCCCAGAGUCCUACGGGAGGCAGAAGUGGGGAAAAUGGCAAAAUGGGCGCAAGCAUGAUGCAGAAACGCCGCGUGAGGGACGAAGGCCUUCGGGUUGUAAAACUCUUUUAGAAGGGAAGAAGCGAAAGUGACGGUAACUGCAGAAAAAGCACCGGCUAACUACGUG
This 470-nucleotide ribosomal RNA is filed under the name uncultured bacterium. RNAcentral describes it as "partial 16S ribosomal RNA". It matches the Rfam family "Bacterial small subunit ribosomal RNA", at positions 28 to 507 of the family's 1533-position model. The record is from RNAcentral.